CCUACGGGUGGCUGCAGUGGGGAAUAUUGGACAAUGGGGGCAACCCUGAUCCAGCCAUGCCGCGUGUGUGAAGAAGGCCCUCGGGUUGUAAAGCACUUUCAGUGAGGAAGAACGCCUGGUGGUUAAUACCCAUCAGGAAAGACAUCACUCACAGAAGAAGCACCGGCUAACUCCGUGCCAGCAGCCGCGGUAAUACGGAGGGUGCGAGCGUUAAUCGGAAUUACUGGGCGUAAAGCGCGCGUAGGUGGCUUGAUAAGCCGGGUGUGAAAGCCCCGGGCUCAACCUGGGAACGGCAUCCGGAACUGUCAAGCUAGAGUGCAGGAGAGGAAGGUAGAAUUCCCGGUGUAGCGGUGAAAUGCGUAGAGAUCGGGAGGAAUACCAGUGGCGAAGGCGGCCUUCUGGACUGACACUGACACUGAGGUGCGAAAGCGUGGGUAGCAAACAGGAUUAGAUACCCCGGUAGUC
This 465-nucleotide ribosomal RNA is filed under the name Vreelandella stevensii. RNAcentral's name for it is "partial 16S ribosomal RNA". It matches the Rfam family "Bacterial small subunit ribosomal RNA", at positions 338 to 795 of the family's 1533-position model. Lineage: Bacteria; Pseudomonadati; Pseudomonadota; Gammaproteobacteria; Oceanospirillales; Halomonadaceae. The record is from RNAcentral.